Hypanus sabinus (Atlantic stingray) is the source of this 1527-nucleotide long non-coding RNA. RefSeq lists it as uncharacterized. Lineage: Eukaryota; Metazoa; Chordata; Chondrichthyes; Myliobatiformes; Dasyatidae. The transcript has 4 exons. The record is from RefSeq and is a predicted model, not a curated record.
UUGGCUGGCAGAAGUCCAGAGAUUUAUGUUAGAAGCAAAUGAAGUUUCUAUCUGAAGCCAUCUUGUUGUUUCCCCAGCAGAAGCUUGCAGAACAUACCGUAACAUUAGGACAAGGACUGUUAGGAUGGGAAACAGCUUCUUCCCCCAGGCUGUGAGGCUACUGAACAUUCUACCCACCACCCAGGUCUCGUCAGGCACAUGACAAUCAACUUAAAUGCUUUUGAGUGUAUUUUUCUGACUGGGAACUGUCCAGGAGAAUGCUGGAAGAAAGAAUAUGAUGACAUGGCUCUAGAUGAUCUGUACUUAAAGACCUAACUGAUAUGAUUGGCAAGACUUCAGACUAAAAUUCAAGGUUCUGCUGAUGAGCAAAAUCAAGAGCAUCCUGACUGGCUGCAUCACUGCCUGGUAUGGGAACCGCACUUCCUUCAAUCAUUGGACUCUGCAGAGAGUGGUGCGGACAGCCCAGCACAUCUGUAGAUGAGAACUUCCCACUGUUCAGGACAUUCACAAAGACAGGUGUGUAAGAAGGGCCCAAAGGAUCACUGGGGACUUGAAUCACCCCAACCAUAAACUGUUCCAGCUGCUACCAUCCAGAAAAUGGUACCGCAGCAUAAAAGCCAGAACCAGCAGGCUCCGGGACAGCUUCUUCCACCAGGCCAUCAGACUGCUUAACUUAUGCUAACACAGCUGUAUUUCAAUGUUAUAGUGACUCUCCUGUUGUACAUACUAUUUAUUAUAAAUUGCUAUAAAUUGCACAUUGCACAGCUAGACGGAGAUGUAUCCUAAAGAUCUUUACUCCUCAUGUAUAUGAAGGUUGUAAGUAAUAAGGUCAAUAGAAUGAACCAAAACACGGGCUUCAUUCUUCAUUUCUUUUUGUGCAGAUGCCACUUGAUCUGCUGAAUGUUAACUAGAAUUUCCUGGGGAGUCCUGAUGAAGGGUCUCAGCCCGAAACGUCAGCUGUUUAUUCUUUAAGAUAGACGCUGCCUGGCCUGCUGAGCUCCUCCAGCAUUUGGUGUGUGUUGUUCUGCGAUGUUCUGUUUUGAUUUUCAGACAUACAGCAUCUAAUUUUUUUUUUGCUUCAGAUAGGGAUGUUCUACGGUAGGGAGACAAGACACGGGCAGCACGUGGUUAGCACAACGCCUUACAGUAGCAGCAACCUGGGUUCAAUCCCUGACACUACCUGUAAGCAGUUUGUACAUUCUCCCCGUGGCAAUAUGGGUUUUAUCCGGGUGCUCCAGUUCUCCCCCCACAGUUCAAAGACAUACUGUUUAGAAGGCUUUGGUUAUUGUAAAUUGCCUUGUGAUUUAUCUAGUGUCAAAUAGGUGGGUAGCUGGGCAGGAUCGCUCGUUGAGUUGAAAGAAAUGUUCCACGCUGUAUGUCAUUAGAUAAAUAAAGAAGUACAUGCCUUAAAUAUUAGAUAAUUGUUGUGAAAUCCAUUAGUUGAUUUAGACACAUCAAUAGUAGAUUAGGACUCUUAUGUUGAAGUGAGAAAUCCAAGGGGUAAGUUAACAGAAAUCUUUAAAACAA